CACGUAAGGUGCGAGCGUUGUUCGGAAUUAUUGGGCGUAAAGGGCAUGUAGGCGGAUAGGCAAGCUUGGUGUGAAAUGUUACAGCUUAACUGUGAGACAGCAUUGAGAACUGCCGAUCUUGAAUUACUGAAGGGUAACCAGAAUUCCACGUGUAGGGGUGAAAUCUGUAGAUAUGUGGAAGAAUACCAAUGGCGAAGGCAGGUUACCGGCAGAUAAUUGACGCUGAGGUGCGAAAGUGCGGGGAGCGAACAGG
This 253-nucleotide ribosomal RNA is filed under the name uncultured bacterium. Its description in RNAcentral is "partial 16S ribosomal RNA". It matches the Rfam family "Bacterial small subunit ribosomal RNA", at positions 524 to 776 of the family's 1533-position model. The record is from RNAcentral.